This 274-nucleotide ribosomal RNA is filed under the name uncultured bacterium. RNAcentral's name for it is "partial 16S ribosomal RNA". It matches the Rfam family "Bacterial small subunit ribosomal RNA", at positions 523 to 796 of the family's 1533-position model. The record is from RNAcentral.
AUACGGAGGGUCCAAGCGUUAUCCGGAUUCAUUGGGUUUAAAGGGUCCGCAGGCGGGAAAAUAAGUCAGUGGUGAAAGCCUACAGCUCAACUGUAGAACUGCCAUUGAAACUGUUUUUCUUGAGUAUAGAUGAAGUGGGCGGAAUAUAUCAUGUAGCGGUGAAAUGCAUAGAUAUGAUAUAGAACACCGAUUGCGAAGGCAGCUCGCUAAACUAUUACUGACGCUCAGGGACGAAAGCGUGGGGAGCGAACAGGAUUAGAAACCCCUGUAGUCC